This 378-nucleotide unclassified non-coding RNA is filed under the name uncultured Parachlamydiaceae bacterium. Its description in RNAcentral is "contains 16S-23S intergenic spacer region". Lineage: Bacteria; Pseudomonadati; Chlamydiota; Chlamydiia; Parachlamydiales; Parachlamydiaceae. The record is from RNAcentral.
UCCCGGUUAACCCGGGCAGUCUCAUUAAAGAGCCCACCAUUACGUGAUGGCAACUAAUGAUAAGGGUUGCGCUCGUUGCGGGACUUAACCCAACACCUCACGGCACGAGCUGACGACAGCCAUGCAGCACCUGUUCAGCGGUCCCGAAGGAAGAUGUUAUUUCUAACACUGUCCACUGUAUGUCAAAUCUGGGUAAGGUUCUUCGCGUUGCAUCGAAUUAAACCACAUACUCCACUGCUUGUGCGGGUCCCCGUCAAUUCUUUUGAGUUUCGGCCUUGCGGCUGUACUCCCCAGGCGGUAUACUUAUCGCGUUAGCUACGACACAUCUAGGGUUGAAUCCAGAUACAUCAAGUAUACAUCGUUUACAGCUAGGACUAC